CAAUAGCGUAUAUUUAAGUUGUUGCAGUUAAAAAGCUCGUAGUUGGAUUUCGGGUGUGAACGACCGGUCCGUCUUUGAUGUGUACUGGUUGGUUGCGCCUUAUUGUCGAGGACGUGGUUCUAGCUUUCAUUAGCCGGGACACGGAGUCGGCAGCGUUACUUUGAGAAAAUUAGAGUGUUCAAAGCAGGCUAUCGCUCUGAAUACUACAGCAUGGAAUAACACGAUAGGACUCCGAGCCUAUUCUGUUGGUCUUCGGGACCGGAGUAAUGAUUAAGAGGGACAGUUGGGGGCAUUCGUAUUCCGAUGUCAGAGGUGAAAUUCUUGGAUUAUCGGAAGACGAACUACUGCGAAAGCAUUUACCAAGGAUGUUUUCAUUAA
RNAcentral lists this ribosomal RNA (378 nucleotides) under uncultured eukaryote. Its description in RNAcentral is "partial 18S ribosomal RNA". It matches the Rfam family "Eukaryotic small subunit ribosomal RNA", at positions 592 to 976 of the family's 1831-position model. The record is from RNAcentral.